Molecule: non-coding RNA, 70 nt
Filed under: unclassified sequences
Description: GP20-b RNA
Rfam family: GP20-b RNA
Source: RNAcentral
UUUCGGGAGGAGCAGACGUAAAAGAACACCAACAAAACUACUUAUGAGAAGCAACCUCGUAAAAAGCGUA